Molecule: long non-coding RNA, 890 nt
Organism: Peromyscus californicus insignis
Lineage: Eukaryota; Metazoa; Chordata; Mammalia; Rodentia; Cricetidae
Exons: 4
Source: RefSeq, a predicted model, not a curated record
UUGGCACAGAAUGAUGGCUGCUUCCUGGCAGACAUGCACACGAAUGACUGACUCAGCAAUGAUGGGCAAUUUCCAGUCCUGCAGCAGUUUCCGGGCAUCGAGUUUCAGAUGGAUUAUUUUUCAACAACGGAAACGUGCUGUUUGUCACAUGGAGGAAUCUCCCUGUAACAUCAGUGACAACCUGGAAGGAUGAUGGAUACAGAGGCCGUGGAUGCAGAAAUUGGAAGUGGUGCCACAAGGCUGACUGGAUGUCUCCCCAUGAAUCGCAUUGCGUUCACCACUGUUAAUGGAUGCAGAAACUGAGACACAAGAAACUUAGACAAACUUAUUUAAGGACACUUGGCAGAACACCAAUUCGGGUAUAGAAAAGAACUUGAAAGCUUGAGCUAUUGACUCCAAGGGACACUGCUUUGACACCUGCGAGAAAACCUCCAGAAGAUGAUACUGAAUAGGAUUUGGUAUAUUACAUAAAAGCAGUUCUGAGAGUUUAAGAUUUGUUGGUGGGAUAUGAUCUUUCCUCCAGUAAAGAGAGAACGGUACUGAGCACACACAAUAAACCAAUUGGUAUGCCUUCGGGGCAUUAAGGAUGGUUUAAAGAUGAAGAAAAACCACUGGCUGAUUCAACACGUCCUUUCUGGGUUAAUAGUAAGUGAUAAAACACACUUCCAUGCCAUUUGGAGGAGACUUAAGAGUGAGCUGGCAUACAGCCAGAGAGCAAGCUACCCCACACUUCCUCUGCUGUCUUGGGACUCAAACACUGGACAACAGCCUCAGGAACCAGGCGGUCACCACAUCCAGUACAGGCUGGGAGCACAGUAAGACUUGUGCAUCUGCCUCUGCAGAAUGUACCAGGCUCUGCUGACUCCCCCUGGGAGGCCUUACCUUCUUGU